This 584-nucleotide ribosomal RNA is filed under the name uncultured eukaryote. RNAcentral's name for it is "partial 18S ribosomal RNA". It matches the Rfam family "Eukaryotic small subunit ribosomal RNA", at positions 21 to 549 of the family's 1831-position model. The record is from RNAcentral.
UAGUCAUAUGCUUGUCUUAAAGAUUAAGCCAUGCACGUCUAAGGAUAAAUAUUUUUUUAACCGUAAACCUGCGGAUGGCUCAUUAAAUCAGUUAUAAUCUACUUCAUUGUAUAAAUUACUUGGAUAACCGUAGUAAUUCUAGAGCUAAUACAUGCAAAAAAUUUGAACUCGCAAGGGGACAAAUGUACUUAUUAAAGAUCAAAAUCAAUACAGGUCAUUCCAAACUCUAGAUUAUACUUUCAUCGGUAUUUUUUAGGGGACUUGUAAAAAAAAAAAAUUGAAGAAUCAUAGUAAACUUACGAAUCAUAAAUUUAAUUAUUUAUUGAUGAUAGAAACGAGUUUCUGACCUAUUAACUUUCGAUGGUAAUCUAGUGGAUUACCAUGGUUUUCAUGGGUAACGGAGAAUUUGGGUUUGAUUCCGGAGAAAAGGCCUGAGAGACGGCCAUUACUUCCAAGGAAGGCAGCAGGCGCGUAAAUUACCCAAUCCCAAUUCGGGGAGGUAGUGACGAGAAAUACUAGUAUUGGUCCCAACGGGAACAAUGAUUGGAAUGAGAACAAUUUAAAAACAUUAACGACUAACAAUU